Molecule: long non-coding RNA, 1242 nt
Organism: Cyprinus carpio carpio
Lineage: Eukaryota; Metazoa; Chordata; Actinopteri; Cypriniformes; Cyprinidae
Source: Ensembl
AGGUAGUAAGAAAUUUGGGUGCUUAUUUUGACACUAAUUUAAACUUUGAAUUUCAUGUCAAGAAGUUGGUUCAGUCUUGUUUUUAUCAGUUAAGAAAUAUUUCUAAGGUGAGACAGUUUUUGAAUUUUUAUGAUAAAGAGAAGCUUAUUCAUGUUUUUAUUUCUUCCCGUCUUGACUAUUCCAAUGCCUUGUUCUCUUUGUGACGGGACGAGCCAACGACAGACACAGUGGGCGUGGCGUCAGGCCUCGGAGAGGUUUUUAUUUAACAGAAAAAACCAAAACAAGGGGGAAUAAAGUGUCCAAAAGGGGAACAGUGUCCAAAACAACAGGGAAUCUGGUGUCCUCGUCGUGCUGCGGGGUUCGUGGGGGUCUGGCAGUGUUCAUGGAGGAAGGGUCCAGGAAGGGUGCGUUGAGGGACUCCCGCGCCACCAGAGACGUGAGCUGCCGGACCCGCGGUCCGGUCGAGAACCGCACCCGUCUACACGGCCGUCGGGCCAGGAUGCCGGGCCGUCCAUCCCCUGCAAGCGCCGCGGCCAGCGAGGAGGAUGAAGCCGCUAGAAGGAGCCGCCGCCCCUCGCGCCCCGGACCCAAGAGGGGAGCGCGUGCGGCCACCGGACUCCGCCCCUUACCUGGACCCUUCCCUCCGUGAACACUGCCAGACCCCCACGAACCCCGCAGCACGACGAGGACACCAGAUUCCCUGUUGUUUUGGACACUGUUCCCCUUUUGGACACUUUAUUCCCCCUUGUUUUGGUUUUUCUGUUAAAUAAAAACCUCUCCGAGGCCUGACGCCACGCCCACUGUGUCUGUCGUUGGCUCGUCCCGUCACAUCUUCUUUGAAUCAUCGUAUUUUAUCGUGCUUACAAUUAGUGCAGUAUGCUAAAGCCAGAUUAUUGACACAAACAAAAUUAUUUCAUUAUAUUACACUGGUUUUAGAUUCUUUACAUUGGCUACCUGUUUAUAUUAGGAUCGAUUUUAAGAUUUUUUAUUGACAUUUAAAGCUUUAAACGGUUUGGCACCUUUGUAUUUAGCUGAACUUCUGAGACUGUACGAAACAAGGAGAUGUCUUAGAUCUUCUUUUAAUGAAUUGCUGGCAGUUCCAAGAACUAGAUAUAAAACAAAAGGAGAUAAGGCAUUUGCAGUGAGGGCUCCAAAACUUUGGAAUAGUUUGCCAGUGGAUAUUAGAUAAUCUGAAUGUGUUUCUGUUUUUAAAUGUUGCUUGAAAACAUACCUGUACAGAUG